UAUACAUGCAAGUCGAGCGGACAGAUGGGAGCUUGCUCCCUGAUGUUAGCGGCGGACGGGUGAGUAACACGUGGGUAACCUGCCUGUAAGACUGGGAUAACUCCGGGAAACCGGGGCUAAUACCGGAUGGUUGUUUGAACCGCAUGGUUCAAACAUAAAAGGUGGCUUCGGCUACCACUUACAGAUGGACCCGCGGCGCAUUAGCUAGUUGGUGAGGUAACGGCUCACCAAGGCAACGAUGCGUAGCCGACCUGAGAGGGUGAUCGGCCACACUGGGACUGAGACACGGCCCAGACUCCUACGGGAGGCAGCAGUAGGGAAUCUUCCGCAAUGGACGAAAGUCUGACGGAGCAACGCCGCGUGAGUGAUGAAGGUUUUCGGAUCGUAAAGCUCUGUUGUUAGGGAAGAACAAGUACCGUUCGAAUAGGGCGGUACCUUGACGGUACCUAACCAGAAAGCCACGGCUAACUACGUGCCAGCAGCCGCGGUAAUACGUAGGUGGCAAGCGUUGUCCGGAAUUAUUGGGCGUAAAGGGCUCGCAGGCGGUUUCUUAAGUCUGAUGUGAAAGCCCCCGGCUCAACCGGGGAGGGUCAUUGGAAACUGGGGAACUUGAGUGCAGAAGAGGAGAGUGGAAUUCCACGUGUAGCGGUGAAAUGCGUAGAGAUGUGGAGGAACACCAGUGGCGAAGGCGACUCUCUGGUCU
Molecule: ribosomal RNA, 703 nt
Filed under: Herbaspirillum sp.
Lineage: Bacteria; Pseudomonadati; Pseudomonadota; Betaproteobacteria; Burkholderiales; Oxalobacteraceae
Description: bacterial SSU rRNA
Rfam family: Bacterial small subunit ribosomal RNA
Source: RNAcentral